This 1063-nucleotide ribosomal RNA is filed under the name Vibrio sp. Its description in RNAcentral is "bacterial SSU rRNA". It matches the Rfam family "Bacterial small subunit ribosomal RNA", at positions 56 to 1098 of the family's 1533-position model. The record is from RNAcentral. Lineage: Bacteria; Pseudomonadati; Pseudomonadota; Gammaproteobacteria; Vibrionales; Vibrionaceae.
UGCAAGUCGAGCGGAAACGAGUUAUCUGAACCUUCGGGGAACGAUAACGGCGUCGAGCGGCGGACGGGUGAGUAAUGCCUAGGAAAUUGCCUUGAUGUGGGGGAUAACCAUUGGAAACGAUGGCUAAUACCGCAUGAUGCCUACGGGCCAAAGAGGGGGACCUUCGGGCCUCUCGCGUCAAGAUAUGCCUAGGUGGGAUUAGCUAGUUGGUGAGGUAAUGGCUCACCAAGGCGACGAUCCCUAGCUGGUCUGAGAGGAUGAUCAGCCACACUGGAACUGAGACACGGUCCAGACUCCUACGGGAGGCAGCAGUGGGGAAUAUUGCACAAUGGGCGCAAGCCUGAUGCAGCCAUGCCGCGUGUAUGAAGAAGGCCUUCGGGUUGUAAAGUACUUUCAGCAGUGAGGAAGGGGGUGUCGUUAAUAGCGGCAUCUCUUGACGUUAGCUGCAGAAGAAGCACCGGCUAACUCCGUGCCAGCAGCCGCGGUAAUACGGAGGGUGCGAGCGUUAAUCGGAAUUACUGGGCGUAAAGCGCAUGCAGGUGGUUUGUUAAGUCAGAUGUGAAAGCCCGGGGCUCAACCUCGGAACUGCAUUUGAAACUGGCAAACUAGAGUACUGUAGAGGGGGGUAGAAUUUCAGGUGUAGCGGUGAAAUGCGUAGAGAUCUGAAGGAAUACCAGUGGCGAAGGCGGCCCCCUGGACAGAUACUGACACUCAGAUGCGAAAGCGUGGGGAGCAAACAGGAUUAGAUACCCUGGUAGUCCACGCCGUAAACGAUGUCUACUUGGAGGUUGUGGCCUUGAGCCGUGGCUUUCGGAGCUAACGCGUUAAGUAGACCGCCUGGGGAGUACGGUCGCAAGAUUAAAACUCAAAUGAAUUGACGGGGGCCCGCACAAGCGGUGGAGCAUGUGGUUUAAUUCGAUGCAACGCGAAGAACCUUACCUACUCUUGACAUCCAGAGAACUUUCCAAAAAUGRAUUGGUGCCUUCGGGAACUCUGAAACAGGUGCUGCAUGGCUGUCGUCAGCUCGUGUUGGGAAAUGKUGGGUUAAGUCCCGCAACGAGGG